Molecule: ribosomal RNA, 484 nt
Filed under: uncultured bacterium
Lineage: Bacteria
Description: partial 16S ribosomal RNA
Rfam family: Bacterial small subunit ribosomal RNA
Source: RNAcentral
AUUGAACGCUGGCGGCAUGCUUUACACAUGCAAGUCGAACGGCAGCGCGGGCUUCGGCCUGGCGGCGAGUGGCGAACGGGUAAGUAAUACAUCGGAACGUGCCCAGUAGUGGGGGAUAGCUCGGCGAAAGCCGGAUUAAUACCGCAUACGACCUGAGGGUGAAAGCGGGGGAUCUUCGGACCUCGCGCUAUUGGAGCGGCCGAUGGCAGAUUAGCUAGUUGGUGGGGUAAAGGCCUACCAAGGCGACGAUCUGUAGCUGGUCUGAGAGGGCGACCAGCCACACUGGGACUGAGACACGGCCCAGACUCCUACGGGAGGCAGCAGUGGGGAAUUUUGGACAAUGGGCGAAAGCCUGAUCCAGCAAUGCCGCGUGUGUGAUGAAGGCCUUCGGGUUGUAAAGCACUUUUGGCGGGAACGAAAAGGACUGUGCCAAUACCACGGUUCGAUGACGGUACCCGCAGAAUAAGCACCGGCUAACUACGUG